RNAcentral lists this transfer RNA (69 nucleotides) under Polycentropus flavomaculatus. RNAcentral describes it as "tRNA-Cys". The record is from RNAcentral. Lineage: Eukaryota; Metazoa; Arthropoda; Insecta; Trichoptera; Polycentropodidae.
AGUUUUAUAAUCAAAAUUUAUAUAUGAUAUUAAAUUGCAAAUUUAAAGUUGAAUUUAUUUCUAAAGCUU